Molecule: long non-coding RNA, 1273 nt
Filed under: Strigops habroptila (Kakapo)
Lineage: Eukaryota; Metazoa; Chordata; Aves; Psittaciformes; Psittacidae
Description: lncRNA (ENSSHBG00005014058.1)
Source: RNAcentral
UUCUUUUUUUUUUUUUUUUUUUUUUUGGUCGCAAAAAUUCAGUAAAAAUUAAUGAAUUUUUACUUUAUCUUCUCAGGAAAACAACCUACGAAGACACAAAUAAGUAACCCACCCUUGUCAUUGAAACUAUAUUUAAGAGAAGCCUGCUCUGGUUUCAGUUUUGUAGCAUUUGACCUCCUUGGUAUAGAGAAGAUACAGAAGAUUUUUAUUUGCUUGCAAACUGUAAGAUAACAAGCAGUACGUCUGAAAAUAUAAACCUGAGAUGACUCUUAAAAAUGAUCUUGGGAGAAGAAGAACAGGUACAAGAACAAAAAAAAGGAAAGAGGCAGAGAAAGGAAUGGCAGACAUGCAGGUUGUAUGAAUAAAGAGCUAAGAAAAGACCUGUGGAAAUAAUUGAUUUUUCUGAUUCCCCACUGACAUUUCUUAAAAAUCCCCAAGUAAUUUGAUGUCCUCCUGAGCCUAAUAUUUUUCUUUCUUUCUUUUUUUUUUUUUUUUUCCCUUCCAGUAUUAUCCACAGUUGAAACAACUGGGGUUGUUUUGUUGUUGGGGAAAAUGCUUGGGGUUAAAUAAAAAUGUUUAAUUUUAUCUGAAUUGUUUUUUACUGUCAUUUAAGGUAUUUUCUGCGAUUUUAAAAAAUAGAAUAAGAAGAACUUGAAAACAAAAAAAUCUGAUUCACAGGGACUUAAGCAGCACUGCUAAAAUUGAAGAAAGAGAACAAGUAAUGGUGGUGCCUUUCACAAAAUGGAGCAGGAACAAAGUCUGGGAUGUGGAAAACCCAGGCUCAGAUUUCUCCACUACCAAAACUGCAGUACAGACAUUAACCUAACUCUCCUACCCUCAUGUAAUUUUUUCAGACAAACAUUUGGCUAUGAAGACGAGACUUUUCUCCCCUCUAAUGGCAGCUGGUACCAUGUUGCAAUCACCACUUUCCAGAAGCUGGCCUUUUUUGGCUGACACAUGAAUUCUGCGUGGACUUAGAGGGAAAUAGGUAUUUCCUUCCCCUCUCCCACCAAAGAAAGCAAAUGGAUUUCUCUAUUGACUGGUAUACGGCUGGCAGAAGUAAAGGCAAAUUUCCUCAUGGUCAUGCCUCUGCCCAACCAUGAUCUGGAAGAACACUGCGAGAGUUAAAGAAGGACUGUCCUGUUCACCUAGGACAUGCGGAUCAUUGGAAAAAACAAAGACGAGCAUCUCUGAUCAUUCCACAGACAUAAACAAGCACAAAGCUGCCAAAGCCAAACAGCAUCAUUUUAUUCUAAUAAAACUGCUCAAUGAA